Carassius carassius (crucian carp) is the source of this 1159-nucleotide long non-coding RNA. RefSeq lists it as uncharacterized. The transcript is spliced from 3 exons. Lineage: Eukaryota; Metazoa; Chordata; Actinopteri; Cypriniformes; Cyprinidae. The record is from RefSeq and is a predicted model, not a curated record.
AACUUGUCAUUUGUACUUUGUGAUGCAGUCUCGUCCAAAAACGUAUAUGUUUAUUAGGUCCUGCUUCAAGGAGUACUUCAUACACAAAUUUCGGACCAUGUUGGGAUUGGGAAAGAAUCGUGUCAUCUUUCCCCAGGAAAAGGCUAUACAAUCAUGGGGAAGACUCCUGAUCUGACAGUUUGUCAAGAAAACAAUCAUUGACAACCUUCAAAAGGAGGACCCACGAUAAAGCCAGCAUCCAGAGACUGACAGAGAGUUUCGUCACCAAUCUACAGGCAGCCCUCCACUGUUAGCACUAUCUACAGAUAACUGAUCUGAAAGCAGCGCCUCUGAACCUGGAUUCAGUUGAUGAACUCUCAAAGUCCAACUGCUGAAGCUGCCUCCAAGUGCCUGCUGUGUCUCUGUGCUCUCGACACGAAAGCAGGUAGAUUAUACACCUAACAAAGUUCCUGUUUAUGUCACAUGUUGACAUCGUCAGGGUUUGAUUUGCAGUUGAGAUUGAUUUAUAAAGGUUUUUUUUAUUUUUUUUAUUUGAGCAUUUUUCCUUAAGAUAUCAGUUUUGUUAUAUUGCAUCCACUGAUAAAUGAAUCGCACAGACUCAUAGAGUCACAUAGUGGAAAUCAGAUCUGUUAGAGAAGCCGUAAUGGACCCAUAGAUUAACGUAGUGAAAGCAAAUUCCAUCUCAAAGACCUAACUUUACAUUAAUGAAAUAAAGUGCCUUGGAUGAGUGCAUGUUGGAAAUAAUUUUUGCCUAUGCUCAUUAGUCUCAUAAACUGCCAUCUGAUGUCAUUUACUGGCACUGUGGCACAUACAAGCACUGUGGAAAUAAAUGCAUCUCCUCAAGUGCAUAGAAAAUUCAUGGGGCAAAAUACACAUUAAUACACAAUAGAUGCAUUUAAAAACUUAAAGUUUGAUGAGAUGUGGGUGUCAUUUGCUGCCAGAUUCCCCCAGUAGGCUUUUAGUGUCUUCAGUUAUGUCCUGUACUGACGUGGGCAAACAUUCAGUCAAAUCUGAGUCACUGUGCAAUUAUUAAAAAAAAAUAAUAAUAAUAAUAUGAAUUGCUCAUUACAGUUUGUCUGUGAUGGGUUGUCCAGAAAACUCAAGUGAUUGCACUACAGAAUGAGUUUUAUGUAAGUGUGUAGAAAUUCAUGGUGUAAAA